AACUGUUUCAGUAUAAUAAAGAAAAUAGAAUAAGAAUAGUCAUAAUACAAAUUAGAUACAGCGAUGAUCAUGAACAAUUAUCCAUCAUUAUAAACAUUAUUAAUCAUUAGCUUUUAAUAUUACUCUGUUGCAUUAAUAAUAUAACCUAGGAAUAACCGGCGGGUGUAGGGUCAGGUGCUGAAGGGACAUUGUGAGAAGUGAAUAGAAGGCAAGAGGGGAACCUUCUGUCACACCCGCAUAAGGGCCGCUUGAGGGCCCCUUGGUCAAGCGGUAAUGCCAGUGUCUGGGAAGGCACCCGUUACUUAGCAGACCGCGAAAGGGAGUCUCCUUUCCUUGGAGGAGUCAGGGAACGCUCUGCUCCACCAGCUUCUUGUGGGAGGCUGGAUGUUAUCCAGGCCUGCCCGCAGUCAUCCGGAGGCCCUGGUGCCUGUGGAGGGGCUUUUACCUGCUUGAGGUGCACAACCGCCCCCACCUUCCCCAUCAACGGGCUCUUCCUGCUCCACCGGGUCUCCGAGGGUGUCAAAACGCUCCCCGUCUCCCACUUCUCGUCCGGCCGUGGGGGUGGCGGUGAGGGGCCUGGCCAAGGCCGCCCGCCCUUCCCAGAGGCCGCCCCAGCUCGCCGCCCCCUCCCGCCUGGGAGUGAGUCAUGAUGUGCGUGACCUGUGGCUGGCGGCCUGCGCCCUGCACCUUGUCCCACCCUUGCGUCAGCGCUGACAGCGGGAAGCCCCCAGGAUCGCUCUGACUCACGUGCACCAGGAAGCUGCCCGGAUGCCCCUUCUGCAGCAACAGCUUCUCAGCCUCCUUGCCAGACAGGCGCCCGUGGUACCACCUGGGCCAGGCACAGGCGAGCACAGGGCAUCGGCCCCCCGCACCAAGUCCUCGUGUCCAGGAAGCUGCCCACCGGUCCUCCAGGAGGCCUUCAACCAGACCCUGUCCAUGCCCAGCCAGGGCCCACCCACCUGACGGACAGCGUGAAGCCCCCCGGGCUGCUCUCGCUGGGCCUGGCAAGGAAGUCCCCACGCUGACCUCUGGAUAGGAACAGCUUCUCCGCCUCCACCCUGCUGACGUUGGGGUGAAGCCACCUGGAGUGGGGAGAGCAGGAUCUCGGACUUCCAGCCUCCAGAGCUGAGGGAAGGAGCGCCUGCCCGCCCAGCUUAUGGUCACUCCCUCAGAAGCCCAGCUGCCUGACGAUGGGUUCUUAUCUCCCAGACGGCAGAAGCUGUUCCCCGCACUGUGGCGUCCCAGCCACCCUGUCCCAGGACCUUCCUCGUCUGCAGCCCCCCAUGAGGUCAGGGCUGCCCCGGAGCCCACGUCUGAGAUCACAACUGCUCCUUACUUUUGUGGCACUGGACUCCGGAGCUCAGGACUACAUUGUACUCAGGCGGCAGCCCCAGAGCCCAGAAUGUCAGCAAAAAAGAGCCACACCUCUGUGCUGUCCACACAGGGGCGGCUUCUGGACACCUGGCUCUUGGGCAUCUCCUGGCUGCAUAGAUGAUACCCAGGUGGGGCCUGCUGGCUCUAGGACCUCCGCCCCACGCUGGCCCAGCCUGGUUGUCAGUGGAGUCAUAACCUGUGCACGAAUGGGUGGGGGUUGCUGUGCCCUGGGCGGACCCUGCUCUGGCCCCCAUGGCUGGUCCAGAGGAGGAGGAAGGUUGAGGGCGGUCCUGCCCCCUCUGCCCCACAAAGGGCAGCUGCAGGGCUCUUUCUAGAAUGGAGGCCUCACCGCAGUCUCUGUUAAAGGCCUCCAUGACCAGGCUCAUGCCUAUAAUCCCAAUUACUCAGGAGGCGGGUGGAUUGCUUGAGCCCAGGAGUUCAAGACCAGCCUGGGCAACAUAGCCAGACCUCAUCUCACUUAAGAAGAAAUAAAAAAUAAAGGCCUCCACAGGCUUUCACCCCUGAGAAUGGAGCCAAGAUCUCCCCUCCUCUGCAGCACCCGCAGGUCCUGGCUGGUCCCCCUGGGGACCCCAUCCCCGGCUCCAGCCCACCCUGGCCAGGUCCCUCUCCCGGGGCCCCAGCUCCUCCUCCUCCUUUGGGCCCUGCCUCCACUCCUUGCAGCUCCUGCCCCUCUGCUCCCCUCUGAGCACAACUUCUGGAAGAAGUUUGUAUGGCUGUGUGAUUUGUAAAUAGGAAUGAAUUAAAAUUCAUGGCCGGGUGCGAUGGCUCAUGCCUGAAAUCCCAGCACUUUGGGAGGCCGAGGCAGGCGCAUCACCUGAGGUCAGGAGUUUGAG
RNAcentral lists this long non-coding RNA (2228 nucleotides) under Pan troglodytes (chimpanzee). RNAcentral describes it as "long non-coding RNA NONPTRT000772". The record is from RNAcentral. Lineage: Eukaryota; Metazoa; Chordata; Mammalia; Primates; Hominidae.